Molecule: long non-coding RNA, 662 nt
Organism: Amphiprion ocellaris (clown anemonefish)
Lineage: Eukaryota; Metazoa; Chordata; Actinopteri; Pomacentridae
Source: Ensembl
CUGAAACAAAGUGGCUGUGAGCGUGAGGAUCUGCGGCAAACUGUGCAGGACUGCCUCAUCUACAAAAAUCCGGGUAGCAGCCGGUUUUUCACCUAAACCUAUCAACUUACCCUAUCAACUAAACCUAUCACCAAAGUUGCCAUCGUUGUAUUCCAUGACCUUGCAAUCAUUGCAAAAUAAAAGAGGAAGAAAAAGAAAGCAACUGUCUGACUCAUGAGUGGAGCCCAGCUCAUAACCUGGUUGUCAGCCUUGGAUGAUGAGGUCCAGUUACCAGGAUCACUACUCUGCAGCUCACUGAUCCCAUCCUGCAGCUCAUCCAUGCCGUCCUCCUCUCAACAGACCAAAUCAAGAAAAACUAAGCAGGAUGCUACUGUGGAUCUGCUCUUCAGAUUAGCUCUGCUAUGAUUAACAAUCUGCCUUCAUCGCAGUCACAGCCAACGGCGACUACGUUUGAGAAGACAGAUGGUCUUAAGGCUAAAUGCGAGGCAGAGGUCAGCUGUUGCCUGGAUAUCUGGGAUCACGCCACUGGUGGGACACAAUUGUACUGGAUUUCAGCUGAAGGCUGCUGUUCUGUCCAAACUGUCAUGAGACAUUGACAUUUUUAUUGUGAAAUACCCACCACUGUUGUUAGUUUUUGUUUCAAUAAAUUGUUUGAGAUGAGG